Molecule: transfer RNA, 77 nt
Filed under: Prevotellaceae bacterium
Lineage: Bacteria; Pseudomonadati; Bacteroidota; Bacteroidia; Bacteroidales; Prevotellaceae
Description: tRNA-His
Rfam family: tRNA
About the family: Transfer RNA (tRNA) molecules are approximately 80 nucleotides in length. Their secondary structure includes four short double-helical elements and three loops (D, anti-codon, and T loops). Further hydrogen bonds mediate the characteristic L-shaped molecular structure. tRNAs have two regions of fundamental functional importance: the anti-codon, which is responsible for specific mRNA codon recognition, and the 3' end, to which the tRNAs corresponding amino acid is attached (by aminoacyl-tRNA synthetases). tRNAs cope with the degeneracy of the genetic code in two manners: having more than one tRNA (with a specific anti-codon) for a particular amino acid; and 'wobble' base-pairing, i.e. permitting non-standard base-pairing at the 3rd anti-codon position.
Source: RNAcentral
GUGGGUAUAGCUCAGUUGGUUAGAGCGUCAGAUUGUGGUCCUGAAGGUCGUGGGUUCGAUCCCCAUUACCCACCCCA